RNAcentral lists this ribosomal RNA (220 nucleotides) under uncultured bacterium. RNAcentral describes it as "partial 16S ribosomal RNA". It matches the Rfam family "Bacterial small subunit ribosomal RNA", at positions 524 to 742 of the family's 1533-position model. The record is from RNAcentral.
GACAGAGGGUGCAAACGUUGUUCGGAAUUACUGGGCGUAAAGCGCGUGUAGGCGGCCAUCUAAGUCGGGCGUGAAAUCCCACGGCUCAACCGUGGAAGUGCACUCGAAACUGGAUGGCUAGAGUCCUGGAGAGGAAGGUGGAAUGCUUGGUGUAGAGGUGAAAUUCGUAGAUAUCAAGCGGAACACCGGUGGCGAAGGCGGCCUUCUGGACAGUGACGUG